UAGCCGGUCGAUAAACCGGAGGAAGUGGGGAUGACGUCAAGUCAGCAUGGCCUUUAUAUCCUGGGCUACACACACGCUACAAUGGGAAAGGGACAAUAGGUUGCGAAGCCGCGAGGCGGAGCCAAUCCAGCAAAAACUUCCCUCAGUUCAGAUUGCAGGCUGCAACCCGCCUGCAUGAAGUUGGAGUUGCUAGUAAACGCAGGUCAGCCAUACUGCGUUGAAUACGUUCCCGGGGCUU
RNAcentral lists this ribosomal RNA (238 nucleotides) under uncultured Anaerolineaceae bacterium. RNAcentral's name for it is "partial 16S ribosomal RNA". It matches the Rfam family "Bacterial small subunit ribosomal RNA", at positions 1147 to 1382 of the family's 1533-position model. The record is from RNAcentral. Lineage: Bacteria; Bacillati; Chloroflexota; Anaerolineae; Anaerolineales; Anaerolineaceae.